AGAACAAAAUAUGCUCUAUAAAAAACAAAUAUUUUAUGAGCUGAAGACUUCAAAAUGCCGUCGGAUAAAACCAAUGGCGACGAGCCAAGAACCUGCUUAGAAUGAGGGAGCAGACGGCCAUGGAGCGCCGACGCAAUCAAAUGGAAUGAAGAGAACGCGUUGUCAUAGCAACGGCAGCGGCAGCGGCAGAGGCAGUGGCAGCCAUCUUGCAUGUGAGAGGGAAUCGCCAUGGAGCGGCCAUGCUGGCAUGCUGGCGAGCCACCGGCACUCACCUGCGGCGGCGGCUAUUGUGAAGUUCUGUAACGUGACUGAAAUAUCGGUACCAGAAAAAUGUUGUUUUUUCUUGUGCGGCGCUUUUGAGGCUCUGCCAGCCGCAUUGCCGCAGCUGCGAUAUUCCCGGCCAGCGCCAAGCAAGUGCGCCUGCGUUGUGCCCGGACCGUGGCCUCGUCUGACAUAGGACGGAAUGGAGACGGAAACAGAGACGACGGUAAGUUUUCGACGUUUUCGAGUUGGAUAUUCGUGCGCGGCCCUCCUAAGGAGCGAAAAUGUGCGACGACAGCUGCUACGGAUUUAUGCAUAUG
Drosophila navojoa is the source of this 581-nucleotide long non-coding RNA. The record is from RefSeq and is a predicted model, not a curated record. Lineage: Eukaryota; Metazoa; Arthropoda; Insecta; Diptera; Drosophilidae.